RNAcentral lists this ribosomal RNA (364 nucleotides) under uncultured Faecalibacterium sp. Its description in RNAcentral is "bacterial SSU rRNA". It matches the Rfam family "Bacterial small subunit ribosomal RNA", at positions 355 to 735 of the family's 1533-position model. The record is from RNAcentral. Lineage: Bacteria; Bacillati; Bacillota; Clostridia; Eubacteriales; Oscillospiraceae.
UGGGGAAUAUUGCACAAUGGGGGAAACCCUGAUGCAGCGACGCCGCGUGGAGGAAGAAGGUCUUCGGAUUGUAAACUCCUGUUGUUGAGGAAGAUAAUGACGGUACUCAACAAGGAAGUGACGGCUAACUACGUGCCAGCAGCCGCGGUAAUACGUAGGUGGCGAGCGUUAUCCGGAUUUACUGGGUGUAAAGGGCGCGUAGGCGGGGAUACAAGUCAGGUGUGAAAUCUAUGGGCUUAACCCAUAAACUGCACUUGAAACUGUAUCUCUUGAAGUGUCGGAGAGGUAGACGGAAUUCCUAGUGUAGCGGUGAAAUGCGUAGAUAUUAGGAGGAACACCAGUGGCGAAGGCGGUCUACUGGACG